This is a non-coding RNA of Chelonoidis abingdonii (Abingdon island giant tortoise), 403 nucleotides long. NCBI's taxonomy places the organism in Eukaryota, Metazoa, Chordata, Testudines, Testudinidae. The record is from RefSeq and is a predicted model, not a curated record.
CCUGCUGAAGCCAGUAGGUUUCAGUAUGUCAUGCAGGAAAAUGAACACAUGUUCUGGUAAUAAAAAAAAGAAAAAGCAAUGUGUCCAAAUAGCAUGAGGUGAAACAGCUUUUAUUUUUUGCAUGCGCUCUGGUUUAUUUUGGCAGACCCUUCCUGAAACCCAGUUGAGAACCAUGGUUCUAUAGGACUGGGUGCUUCAGAGACAAAAGGAGAAAAAUGCUUUUGGGAAGGGCCCCAUUACUGGUAGCUGUGAGAGCUGCUUUUGACUGAAGAAAUGAAAGAUCUUAUGAAAUUCUUAUGCUACAUCAUAGCGAGCUCAGAGGAGACCGUGCAGAUUUCAUCAGCAGAGGUGACCAUGGAGUCCCAGAAUCGCAAAAGAGCUCCAGCAUGGACUAAACGGGAGG